Molecule: ribosomal RNA, 693 nt
Filed under: uncultured Bacilli bacterium
Lineage: Bacteria; Bacillati; Bacillota; Bacilli
Description: bacterial SSU rRNA
Rfam family: Bacterial small subunit ribosomal RNA
Source: RNAcentral
CCAACUGAUUGAACGUGCUUGCACGGACUUGACGUUGGUUUACCAGCGAGUGGCGGACGGGUGAGUAACACGUAGGUAACCUGCCCCAAAGCGGGGGAUAACAUUUGGAAACAGAUGCUAAUACCGCAUAACAAUUUGAAUCGCAUGAUUCAAAUUUAAAAGAUGGCUUCGGCUAUCACUUUGGGAUGGACCUGCGGCGCAUUAGCUUGUUGGUAGGGUAACGGCCUACCAAGGCUGUGAUGCGUAGCCGAGUUGAGAGACUGAUCGGCCACAAUGGAACUGAGACACGGUCCAUACUCCUACGGGAGGCAGCAGUAGGGAAUCUUCCACAAUGGGCGCAAGCCUGAUGGAGCAACACCGCGUGAGUGAAGAAGGGUUUCGGCUCGUAAAGCUCUGUUGUUAGAGAAGAACGUGCGUGAGAGCAACUGUUCACGCAGUGACGGUAUCUAACCAGAAAGUCACGGCUAACUACGUGCCAGCAGCCGCGGUAAUACGUAGGUGGCAAGCGUUAUCCGGAUUUAUUGGGCGUAAAGCGAGCGCAGGCGGUUUGAUAAGUCUGAUGUGAAAGCCUUUGGCUUAACCAAAGAAGUGCAUCGGAAACUGUCAGACUUGAGUGCAGAAGAGGACAGUGGACUCCAUGUGUAGCGGUGGAAUGCGUAGAUAUAUGGAAGACACCAGUGGCGAAGGCGGCUG